RNAcentral lists this transfer RNA (73 nucleotides) under Bos taurus (domestic cattle). It matches the Rfam family "tRNA". From Rfam's summary of the family: Transfer RNA (tRNA) molecules are approximately 80 nucleotides in length. Their secondary structure includes four short double-helical elements and three loops (D, anti-codon, and T loops). Lineage: Eukaryota; Metazoa; Chordata; Mammalia; Artiodactyla; Bovidae. RNAcentral also lists the same sequence under 1 other name. The record is from Rfam by way of RNAcentral.
UCCCUGGUAGUCCAGUGGUUAGGGCUCUAUGCUUCCAAUGCAGGGGGCCUGGGUUCAAUCUCCGGUCAGGGAA